GGCCACCGCGGCAGCGACCGUCCGUACAACCGCGACCGCCGCGACGACCGCCCGGCCGGCGGCCACCGCACCGGCGGUGACCGUCCCUACGGCCGCCGCGACGACCACCGGGGCGGCCCGUCCUCCUCGUCCUCGUCCUCCUUCGGCCGCCGUGACGACAAGCCCCGCUGGAAGCGCAACGGCUGAUUCCUGCCGGUGACCCCGGCCGGGACCGCGUCCCGCCGGCGAGUCCACCGGUCCGAAGAGCCCGUUCUCUCCUGCCACGGAGAGGACGGGCUCUUCCGUUUCCUCCCGGGCGAGGGCCCGAAGCACGGCCCUCUCCCCGCCGAGGACGCUCCCGCUCCCCCCGUCGCAGGCGUCUCGUUUCGAAUGCCCCACGAUCCCGUCACAGAAUCUCUACUGUUAACAUCCGUCAUCACGCGUGGGCAGGGCCGGAGUUGACCGGUCCAGGGGAACCGGGACCACGCGGACCGCCGUCCUCGCCGGGCCGCCGGGGGCCCCGCAGAGCCGACUCCGGUCGUGGGCCCCACCGACCGGCGUUGGACGGGCCGCACCGCAUCCCUGGGGGGAUCUCCUUGGCCCAGCACGCCCGCCUGCGCCCGACGGUGGCCGCCGUCUGCGCGCUCGCCGUCUCCGCCGGACUGGUGUCGGUCGCGGCCCUGCCCGGCACGGCCGCCGCCGCUCCCGCCGCCGCGCCGGCCGAGGCCGUCAUCGACGCCCCGUCCCGUUUCCAGCCACGCGUGGACGAGGUGUUCGUCGCGGGUGAGCAGGGCUUCCUCCACCGGGAGGAGGGCCGCUCGGUGGAGUACACCGAGUACGCCACCGGGACCACCCGGAAGGCCGAGAACGCGACCUGGUGGAACGGCACGCUCGGCGCCUGGUGGUCGCCCUCCGCCCGCACCCUGGAGUUGCGGCCGAUGGAGGGCGAGGCCCCCUCGGCCACGAUCGCCCUGCCGGAGAAGCAGACCUGGCAGCGCGGCCACAACGCCUCGACCGUGCUGACCACGAGCCGGGAGACCGGCGGCCUGACCGUCAUGCACCUGCUGCGCGGCGUCGCCGACGGCAGCGUCACGGACCAGGAGAUCCCGCUCGGCGCGGGUGAGAGCUUCGUCAACGUCAUCGACCAGACCCACGAGGCCGCGGUCAUCGGCGUACGCGGGGCCGACGCCGUGAAGCGGGCGUUCCUCCUCGACUACGCGACCGGCACCACCACCCCGCUCUUCGCCGGCCUCCCCUCGCCCGGUCGGGUCACGCUGACCGACCGCUACGUGGCCGGCUGGGAACCGAGCUCCCCGGAGGUCCUCACCCUCGACCGCCGCGACCUGGACGCACCCGUCGUACGCACCGUGGUCCCGGGCCCGGUGAAGACCACGACCAGGCACCAGAUGGCGCUGGAGCUCUCCGGCGACCAGCUGCUCGUCGUGCACCAGGAGGCGCAGCCCGACCACCACAUCGGCCAGCCGCUCUCCGCCGUCCGGAUCGGCGGCGGUGACCCGGUGACCGUGUUGCCGCACGCCCAGGCCCGGCUGACCCCG
Molecule: ribosomal RNA, 1535 nt
Filed under: Streptomyces sp. PVA_94-07
Lineage: Bacteria; Bacillati; Actinomycetota; Actinomycetes; Kitasatosporales; Streptomycetaceae
Source: RNAcentral